Molecule: ribosomal RNA, 119 nt
Filed under: Pteropus alecto (black flying fox)
Lineage: Eukaryota; Metazoa; Chordata; Mammalia; Chiroptera; Pteropodidae
Source: RNAcentral
GUCUAUAGGCACGCCACCCUGAACAAGCCCGAUCCCGUCUGGUCUCGGAAGCUUAGCAGGGUCGGGCCUGGUGAGUACUUGGAUGGGAGACCACCUAGGAAGACCAGGAGCUGUAGGUA